Vespa crabro (European hornet) is the source of this 2365-nucleotide long non-coding RNA. RefSeq lists it as uncharacterized. NCBI's taxonomy places the organism in Eukaryota, Metazoa, Arthropoda, Insecta, Hymenoptera, Vespidae. The record is from RefSeq and is a predicted model, not a curated record. The transcript has 3 exons.
UAGAAAUCGUCGAGCAAAUAUUGUAUCUUCCUAAUCUCGUACUAUCGUCGCACUAUCUUGGAAUUAUCAUACAGUACGAAUCGAAUUCUUUUGGGAAUUAAUUGGCUUCGCGCCGAAGGAGUCGAAGGAGUCGAACCAGAUGCAAACAAGCGUGAUUAUCCGGUAACCUCAGAUCAAAUGUGGUGGUGUGCACGAGACUCAGGAGAGGGUUGAGGGGCUAAGAGAGGGACUCGAGCGACUAACGGAAUAACUAAUUUAUCAAUUCUUCGGUUCGGUUGGCUUCGAUACCCCUGGCUAUAUUUGCGAAUUCGUGCAAACGAGGACUUCCAAUUCCCAAGGUGCAUCGUCGUCUUGUUUGGACACGAGAAGGACCCCAGAAAGCUUCGGCUUACGAGAUGUCAAUACGCUAUAAGUGACGGCGGUCUAUGCGCGCCGAACCAGAAAGCUUUCAAUGAUUGUACAAAGAGAUACAGAAGUGAUGUCAUUAUUUUAUUGAGUGAUUUGUGUCAACACUUCAUCUUAGAUCUGAAUUAUGACAGCGUAGAAAUUUUAUCAAUACUAAUAAUCAGUUAAAAUUCAAUUACUUUAGAAUUAUAGUAUUGACCUAUUCUGUUCCAAUUUGCAACACUUCAUUUAAAAAGCUAAUUCUCAAGGGAAUACUACAUCUCGUAUUUUAACUCGUUAUCGUACCGUGCGUUGGCGCCACCGAAGCUAUUUCACAGUUCAAUCAAUAUAACAUGUCGAAUUAUUUAAAAAAUUUUUCUAUUUAUUGAUAAUAUCAAUGAAAUAUUCACUAACGAUAGAAUAGUCCGAAUUUUCAUGACAGAAAUAAUAAACGAAAUCCUAUUUCUUCGUUGUUAACUCAGAGAAGUUAGCUACUUAAGGAGUAAGGAGAUGGUGGGUGGUAGAGUGCGAACGAGUUUCGUUCGCAGAACUUGAAAAUUUGUGGCGCGUAUCGUUCUCGACUCCAAUGGUCAAUACAAAUAGAUACGCUUGUAAUUAGAACGCAAUUUUGAUUGAAAAUGUAAGUUUUGUUGACACGCAAUUCACGGUACGAUAAUCAAACGAAUAUGCUCAUAUAUUUCCCGCAAAUUGUGUUUUCGUUUAAUAUUUGGUAUUACAAAAUUUUGCGAUCAAAGUGAGAGGAAACGUUGGAGUAUGGGAAGGGGGGAAGAGAUGGAGGUAAUAUUAAUUGAAUAGUAACAGGGAUAUCAUCAUCCUGGAUAAUAUUAAUUGAAUUCCUGAAUCCACAGAAAUGAUUUAUAUAAUAUUUGAGAAUAUAACAAUUUCAAGAUAAUUUGUGUGAUGGAUGAACGUAAUUGUGGACAUAUAUAAAAAAUAUACCUUAAUUUAUCUUUCUUUCGUGUCAGUAAGUUUGCGAUAUAUAUCUACGUAUUGUGUAAUAAAGUUAACUUGUAAUCGUUAAAAAUUUUAUACCACAGUUCUUAAGGUAGGCAAUUAAUCAACCGGCAAUGCAUCAGAAUAAUUAUCACCGUACGGCGAAUAACAUUAUCAGAUGUGUAAAAUGAGAUAACGAAGACUAUAAAAAAUAUGAAUUAUUGUUACAUAGGAAAAGAAAAGACUGGUGAAAAAACGAAGAUAGAAAAUGUCGUAUGCGAAAAAAGGAAAUUCCUCCCAAACGAGAAUGCAAAACAUUACGAAUUAUACCAAUCAAUAUUCUUCGUCUAAUCCUUCGGGAAUCCUGAUGCUCGUGUCACAUCACCUUUAUUUAUUUAUCUUUUUUUCUGCUGCUUUCUUUUUUCCUUUUUAGCCUCUCGCAAGUAUUUCAAGCAUUUCGAGAUUACCAGAAAACUGAAGAGUCAUAAAGCGACUCUCUUCGUCUAGAUUUCAAUGAGGGAGACUCCCAUGGGAAACGAUGGCGUUACUCCGAACCCCUUCAUAUUCGAACGUUAGCUAAAUAAAAGUAGUAGUACAAUAUCGGUUCUCUUGUAUUUUACACAUCUUUUCUACCUCUUCUACCUCUUCUUCCUCCUCUUUUACUUAUAUUAUUCUUCAGUGUCGCAUGUAUCAGUUUCUGUAAUAAAAGGCAAGCUGUUUUUUUCAGAAAUUUUCAUUUGUAGGAACCUCUUUCCUUCGUGUGAAGAGCUUGCAUAUGAACAAUCUUUUUUUCACUGGAUAAUGUAUAUGAGUUUCUCACUCUUUUCCUUUCAUACCGUUUUCUCUAUUUUCCUGAUUUUCCUUGUGUUUUUCAUAUGCAUGUAAAUGCUGAUGCAUUUGGUAGUCUUUCAAGUCUACCUAUCUCUUUCAAACCUUCACGUUUUUUUUUUUUUACGACAAAUUUUGUAAUUUGAUGAUCUAUUCUAUUAUAUUUCCUUAUGAAUAUUUAAAUUAUCAUCAAGCAGGU